RNAcentral lists this long non-coding RNA (209 nucleotides) under Mytilus galloprovincialis (Mediterranean mussel). Lineage: Eukaryota; Metazoa; Mollusca; Bivalvia; Mytilida; Mytilidae. The record is from RNAcentral.
GUGUUAUUAAAAUUUGCUGUUACAAAAUGUUAGAAAUUAUUAUAAAUUAAGGAAUGUAUCUCCCUCAUGCAAAGCUCUGAUUCCUUUCACGGAUUUGGCUAUACUUUUUGGACCUUUUGGAUUAUAGCUCUUCAUCUUUUAUAUAAGCUUUGGAUUUCAAAUAUUUUGACCACGAGCAUCACUGAAGAGACAUGUAUUGUCGAAAUGCG